Long non-coding RNA from Uranotaenia lowii, 415 nucleotides. RefSeq lists it as uncharacterized. The transcript has 2 exons. NCBI's taxonomy places the organism in Eukaryota, Metazoa, Arthropoda, Insecta, Diptera, Culicidae. The record is from RefSeq and is a predicted model, not a curated record.
AAAAAGUUAUAACCGUUAACCAUUUCUGCUUGUCGUUUUUUGCGGUUACCUACUGUCGUUUUAUUUGUUAAUUUUUUGGUGGCCGGUACUCGCGCAGAUUUUAAUUGAUUGAUGGUUAUAGAAUAGUGUUAAUUGAAAUUUAAGUUGAGGCUGCGAAGAACGCAUUGCAUUGAAGAACAGCACGGCUGUGUGGACAAACUCUACCAUUGGUCAGGAUUCUUUCCCCCGUUUUGGAAGCUUUGGUUGGCCAAUCGACUCAGCUAGCUGACAUGGACCCGGAGCGCAAGGCUUUAAAUUCCAUAGUUCACCCGGCGCGUAGAGGACUGUCUCGUCUGUGGUGUUUUGAAAGUGAAAAGCGUUGAGAUGUGCAAAACUAGUGAAAUAAGGUGAAAUAUAAUAAAAUGCUUGAAAUAUA